AGAGUUUGAUCCUGGCUCAGGAUGAACGCUAGCGGGAGGCCUAACACAUGCAAGCCGAGCGGUAGAAUUUCUUCGGAAAUUUGAGAGCGGCGAACGGGUGCGGAACACGUGUGCAACCUGCCUUUAUCUGGAGGAUAGCCUUUCGAAAGGAAGAUUAAUACUCCAUAAUAUACAAGAUGGCAUCAUUUAGUAUUGAAAGCUCCGGCGGAUAAAGAUGGGCACGCGCAAGAUUAGAUAGUUGGUGAGGUAACGGCUCACCAAGUCUGCGAUCUUUAGGGGGCCUGAGAUGGUGAUCCCCCACACUGGUACUGAGACACGGACCAGACUCCUACGGGAGGCAGCAGUGAGGAAUAUUGGACAAUGGGUGCAAGCCUGAUCCAGCCAUCCCGCGUGAAGGAUUAAGGACCUAUGGUUUGUAAACUUCUUUUGUACAGGGAUAAACCUAUCUACGUGUAGAUAGCUGAAGGUACUGUACGAAUAAGCACCGGCUAACUCCGUGCCAGCAGCCGCGGUAAUACGGAGGGUGCAAGCGUUAUCCGGAUUUAUUGGGUUUAAAGGGUCCGUAGGCGGAUCUAUAAGUCAGUGGUGAAAGCCGACAGCUUAACUGUCGAACUGCCGUUGAUACUGUAGGUCUUGAGUAAAUUUGAAGUGGCUGGAAUAAGUAGUGUAGCGGUGAAAUGCAUAGAUAUUACUUAGAACACCAAUUGCGUAGGCAGGUCACUAAGAUUUAACUGACGCUGAUGGACGAAAGCGUGGGGAGCGAACAGGAUUAGAUACCCUGGUAGUCCACGCUGUAAACGAUGCUAACUCGUUUUUGGGUCUUCGGAUUCAGAGACCAAGCGAUAGUGAUAGGUUAGCCACCUGGGGAGUACGAACGCAAGUUU
RNAcentral lists this ribosomal RNA (884 nucleotides) under uncultured bacterium. Its description in RNAcentral is "bacterial SSU rRNA". It matches the Rfam family "Bacterial small subunit ribosomal RNA", at positions 8 to 895 of the family's 1533-position model. The record is from RNAcentral.